This 218-nucleotide unclassified non-coding RNA is filed under the name Hevea brasiliensis (rubber tree). The record is from RNAcentral. Lineage: Eukaryota; Viridiplantae; Streptophyta; Magnoliopsida; Malpighiales; Euphorbiaceae.
AGUAGCUAUUAAAAAUUUAGUAACUUAGUCACUUAAAUGUGUGUUUAUCUGCUGUUUGAAGAGAAUGCUUUUGUAUUACAUCUAAAAGGUUAAAAUAAGACCAAAUGCAUCCAAAUGUCCUUGUACUAUUGCUAUAAUGCACAGUUGAGCUCCUUUUUUUUUUUUCUACAUUGUUCAAUCAAAAUCAUAAGUUUUAACUUUAUGCCUAACUUAAAUUU